RNAcentral lists this long non-coding RNA (236 nucleotides) under Physcomitrium patens. RNAcentral's name for it is "long non-coding RNA (PPAT_LNC000287)". Lineage: Eukaryota; Viridiplantae; Streptophyta; Bryopsida; Funariales; Funariaceae. The record is from RNAcentral.
UUUGUGAAAUAAAAUGAGAAAUACUUUUUGGAUAAUUCCAUAAGUUUGGUAAUAAAUCUAUAAGUGAAAUUUUGAAGAUUUUUGGAUUUAUAUAUGUUCAAUAUAUGUUGUGAGUUUGAACUGGAUUGAAGGGUUGGAUUGAAGAUUAUUGAGAAGUGGAUCAGGGUCUCAAAAAGUAGAGUUUUAGGCCUAGUGAGGAAUUCUAAGAUUUCUUGCAAUCUAUUAAUUGAAUUGGA